RNAcentral lists this ribosomal RNA (301 nucleotides) under uncultured bacterium. Its description in RNAcentral is "partial 16S ribosomal RNA". It matches the Rfam family "Bacterial small subunit ribosomal RNA", at positions 509 to 807 of the family's 1533-position model. The record is from RNAcentral.
CAGCCGCCGCGGUAAUGCGUAGGGUGCAAGCGUUAAUCGGAAUUACUGGGCGUAAAGCGUGCGCAGGCGGUUCUAUAAGACAGAUGUGAAAUCCCCGGGCUCAACCUGGGAACUGCAUUUGUGACUGUAGAGCUGGAGUGCGGCAGAGGGGGAUGGAAUUCCGCGUGUAGCAGUGAAAUGCGUAGAUAUGCGGAGGAACACCGAUGGCGAAGGCAAUCCCCUGGGCCUGCACUGACGCUCAUGCACGAAAGCGUGGGGAGCAAACAGGAUUAGAUACCCCUGUAGUCCCUGUCUCUUAUAC